UUUGUCGUCAAUGAAACUUUACUCCCAAACAGAGUGACGUAUAGAAAAUCGUGUUGCCCUUAGCCGUUCAUAGAAUGUUAGCUGCGGAAAAAAUUUUGCCAAAAAACACCUGUAUUCAUGGCCGAUUCGUCUAAAAGGAUGGUUGUCAAUCGAAAUUUUUGUACAAAUAAUUAAUACGAUUUUGCUGUUUCUAGCGCUCGAAAACGUCACGUCUUAUGACGUCUGUGAACGACACAGCUAUGCUGAAUUAUAUUUCUAUUUGUUCUAUGUGUAUUGCUUUGCUAUUUCGGUAAUAAUGUACUAGCCACAGGAGUAAGUACAAUGUCGGUUCGUUAAAAAGUUGUCGAGAGCGGGAGAUUGCUCUAGAUUCAGUAGAACCAAUCUUUAAAAAUACUUGAGUGUAAUGGUACUGCUUCGUUCUUAUCACAAAGUCCAUACAAAACAAUUGGUUUAAUUUUAAAUCAAGGACCCUAUUGAGGAAAGACUUAGGACAGAGAAAGAAAAAAUCCAUGGAAAGUAUAACGUUGGAGUGCACUGAAAGGACAUGAAUUACGAAACGCCCGCACUAUCGACAGCCGAGACUUAGUACCAGAGGUAAACAAACACCCGAGCAUAAGCGGAGACACAUUUUCCUUGACGCAUGUGCCAAAUUACACGCGUGUGCCGAUCGACAGGCAUGGCUUCAGUUUCAAAAUUCUGCGAAGACGUUGAGCAACGGGCCUCAUACAAUAGCAAAGUCGACGAUUCUAUCAUCAAACACCAAAAAUCAAAGCAAGUUGUGACGUUAUUAAUUUACCUUACGUCGGGCCCAUUUAGUGACUAAAGGGAUCAGAUUUACUUAGAAGUCCCAGCAAUGAAUAGUUGCGACGACCUCGGCGAAGUACGCAGCCUAUAUACACUCAGAAAGCCCGUAUACCGAUUGACUGUUUGGAAUAUCAAAGCCAAAAAUUUGGCCAAAUGGUACAGAAAUUUGCUCGGAAAUUAAAUUGACGAAACAGUGACAAUAGCGGCUUUCAAAGAAGCUAAUGCUGUAGAAAGUGACGAUACUCCCGUAAGGCAAACCCCGUGCGCCACUCUGCAAAAUAACUAAAGCCAGCGAGCAUUCUCCAGAUGCGAUCUGAUGCAAUCUUCAAGGGUGGCCAGUGCAUUCGUUGCAGGGACGUGGGCCCAACGUGUGGACGCAUCACCUCUGGAAAAAGAUUGUUGGAGUGAGUUUAAGGUUAAUUCUCUGGAGAUAUGCUAAUGCAUUAUACGUUAUCCAAAAUAGUACCAAUACUAGUAACAAAUGCGUUAAUUUUCAUACUUAUGAACUGACUUGAUGUGGUUCAUACCGGAUAUGUUGAAGUAACGAUAGAGGUGGAUUCCGGAUGCAAGGUGACUGAUGUACCAAUGUUUCAGUACAAAAAGUUAAUAUUCCUGUUAAACGUGACAAAUAACAAGAACGCGGUUCUGUAUUCGUUCAUUGAAGUUGAUGCUACGUAGAAUCGCUGACAGGGUUAUCACGGCGGUACCUUUUGGACGAUGUAGCUUUACCUGUCGAUGUGAGCAUCUCGCUGGGCUAAAAAAACCUUCAGAUUGAAGGGUGCCAUUGGUGUUGUGUCAAGAUCUAGAGUCAUUAAGCUGUCGGAACGUUAGCAAAGCCCAUUUACGUAUUGUAUAGUUUAAUUCUUACCCCAAAGCCUACAAGCCAAGAAUUGUGCGCGAGGUGAGUGAGUACGGUACAAAGUCAUUUAUAAACAACAGAAGGAAAAGAAUUGCACAAAGUGGAAGGAAAACCUGCAAAAAUAAAGAAUCGAAGUUCAGUUAAAACUGUGACGAAAUAAUGCAAAUAUCUGAGUCACCUCUAUUUCCGCCUUCAGUUUGUACAUAACGCAAAGAGAUAUCGAUUUACUUGCACCCAGGGCAGAGAGUGUAGUCAGUCGUUUGUUUGUGCACAACCAGUCCUGAAUGGAUCCACGAGUCAACAGAGGAAUCGAUUCCGGAUAACCGAUUACUGUCAAUGAAUGCAUCGAUUAGUACGACGCGUACUGAAAAAACCGGAUCACUUUCAUCGAUGGAGAAUCGAAGAAACCUAAAGGAAAUGUCGGCGCAUCAACAGUUGUCGACUGGAAAGUGGUCACGGAAUUUCUUUAAGCCUUCUCAGACUUACAGUGCCGUAAUCGCAAGUUUCGUCAAGAACGAGGAGGUAAGAGAAGCAGCUGGCCAGUCGAAGCGUUAUGGAGCACAUGAUGAACUCGUGGUCCUGGAUCAUUGCUUCUCGUUAUCACAUACAUUAUGUGGCCGGUUAAUGUCAUUCAGUUAUGCUACCGUGCUGCGUGCUAGAUCUGUUCCCAUAGCAGCCAUAUGUUGGCUAUGUUAACGGAUGAAAAUUGCAGGCUUACUCUCAGCUCUCAGUUACGCGGAAAAUAUGUCGUUUUUGCUCAAACAUAUUUUCAUUAUGUGGCACAUGUGUAUGGCCAUAAGAUCUGCGAAACCGUAGGGCGACAAAUGCGCGAGUAAUAUAGUCAUCCGCCCGCGCACACGAUUGAGGUUAGUCCACAUGUUGGCUUAUCGGAAUCAGGCAGGGGAUCAUCUUCAAUCAACAACGGCUUCUUUCACGAAAGAAAGAAAUUUACGAAUAUACCAGAAGCGCCGGAGAGAUAGAUGACGAGGACACAUGGAUGCGAAAUCGGUGCGAGUUUCAAGAACAGGCAACUGUGAGGCACUCCUGAGCUUAGGAGUCGGCUAAAGGAAACCUUUAAAAUCGGUUCAAUUGUCAUCAGGUUUCCUCUAAACCUAUGCUAAACAAUACUGUCUCCUCAAUUAUCGCCUCAUCAAUGGGAAAGCGGCAAAGCUUUGACUGGGCUUCAGCAUGAGCCUAGCAGGCCAUGUUAAACUGAUGCUCACAUUGAAUCGAUUUUUGAGGUUACACGAACCAUGUGAUUCUAAAAGGCUAAAACUACAAACGUACAACAGCGAUAGGUCGCCCACGAAAUACGUUGUAGCAAUUACCAGCAUCUCUAUACCGCUGACUCUCAAGAGCCGGAGUAGAUUAAGCAACAUCCGAAUUCGGUGUCCUCUCAUAGUCG
Molecule: long non-coding RNA, 3068 nt
Filed under: Varroa destructor (honeybee mite)
Lineage: Eukaryota; Metazoa; Arthropoda; Arachnida; Mesostigmata; Varroidae
Description: uncharacterized LOC111249965, transcript variant X2
Source: RNAcentral